GAGUUUGAUCAUGGCUCAGAUUGAACGCUGGCGGCAGGCCUAACACAUGCAAGUCGAACGGUAACAGGAAGCAGCUUGCUGCUUCGCUGACGAGUGGCGGACGGGUGAGUAAUGUCUGGGAAACUGCCUGAUGGAGGGGGAUAACUACUGGAAACGGUAGCUAAUACCGCAUAAUGUCGCAAGACCAAAGAGGGGGACCUUCGGGCCUCUUGCCAUCGGAUGUGCCCAGAUGGGAUUAGCUUGUUGGUGGGGUAACGGCUCACCAAGGCGACGAUCCCUAGCUGGUCUGAGAGGAUGACCAGCCACACUGGAACUGAGACACGGUCCAGACUCCUACGGGAGGCAGCAGUGGGGAAUAUUGCACAAUGGGCGCAAGCCUGAUGCAGCCAUGCCGCGUGUAUGAAGAAGGCCUUCGGGUUGUAAAGUACUUUCAGCGGGGAGGAAGGGAGUAAAGUUAAUACCUUUGCUCAUUGACGUUACCCGCAGAAGAAGCACCGGCUAACUCCGUGCCAGCAGCCGCGGUAAUACGGAGGGUGCAAGCGUUAAUCGGAAUUACUGGGCGUAAAGCGCACGCAGGCGGUUUGUUAAGUCAGAUGUGAAAUCCCCGGGCUCAACCUGGGAACUGCAUCUGAUACUGGCAAGCUUGAGUCUCGUAGAGGGGGGUAGAAUUCCAGGUGUAGCGGUGAAAUGCGUAGAGAUCUGGAGGAAUACCGGUGGCGAAGGCGGCCCCCUGGACGAAGACUGACGCUCAGGUGCGAAAGCGUGGGGAGCAAACAGGAUUAGAUACCCUGGUAGUCCACGCCGUAAACGAUGUCGACUUGGAGGUUGUGCCCUUGAGGCGUGGCUUCCGGAGCUAACGCGUUAAGUCGACCGCCUGGGGAGUACGGCCGCAAGGUUAAAACUCAAAUGAAUUGACGGGGGCCCGCACAAGCGGUGGAGCAUGUGGUUUAAUUCGAUGCAACGCGAAGAACCUUACCUGGUCUUGACAUCUACGGAAGUUUUCAGAGAUGAGAAUGUGCCUUCGGGAACCGUGAGACAGGUGCUGCAUGGCUGUCGUCAGCUCGUGUUGUGAAAUGUUGGGUUAAGUCCCGCAACGAGCGCAACCCUUAUCCUUUGUUGCCAGCGGUCCGGCCGGGAACUCAAAGGAGACUGCCAGUGAUAAACUGGAGGAAGGUGGGGAUGACGUCAAGUCAUCAUGGCCCUUACGACCAGGGCUACACACGUGCUACAAUGGCGCAUACAAAGAGAAGCGACCUCGCGAGAGCAAGCGGACCUCAUAAAGUGCGUCGUAGUCCGGAUUGGAGUCUGCAACUCGACUCCAUGAAGUCGGAAUCGCUAGUAAUCGUGGAUCAGAAUGCCACGGUGAAUACGUUCCCGGGCCUUGUACACACCGCCCGUCACACCAUGGGAGUGGGUUGCAAAAGAAGUAGGUAGCUUAACCUUCGGGAGGGCGCUUACCACUUUGUGAUUCAUGACUGGGGUGAAGUCGUAACAAGGUAACCGUAGGGGAACCUGCGGUUGGAUCACC
This 1528-nucleotide ribosomal RNA is filed under the name Shigella flexneri 2850-71. RNAcentral describes it as "bacterial SSU rRNA". It matches the Rfam family "Bacterial small subunit ribosomal RNA". Lineage: Bacteria; Pseudomonadati; Pseudomonadota; Gammaproteobacteria; Enterobacterales; Enterobacteriaceae. The record is from RNAcentral.